GACGAACGCUGGCGGCGUGCUUAACACAUGCAAGUCGAACGGAAAGGCCCUGCUUUUGUGGGUGCUCGGGUGGCGAACGGGUGAGUAACACGUGAGUUACCUGCCCUUGACUUUGGGAUAACUUCAGGAAACUGGGGCUAAUACCGGAUAGGAGCUCCUGCUGCAUGGUGGGGGUUGGAAAGUUUCGGCGGUUGGGGAUGGACUCGCGGCGUAUCAGCUUGUUGGUGGGGUAGUGGCUUACCAAGGCUUUGACGGGUAGCCGGCCUGAGAGGGUGACCGGCCACAUUGGGACUGAGAUACGGCCCAGACUCCUACGGGAGGCAGCAGUGGGGAAUAUUGCACAAUGGGCGGAAGCCUGAUGCAGCAACGCCGCGUGCGGGAUGACGGCCUUCGGGUUGUAAACCGCUUUCGCCUGUGACGAAGCGUGAGUGACGGUAAUGGGUAAAGAAGCACCGGCUAACUACGUG
This 467-nucleotide ribosomal RNA is filed under the name uncultured bacterium. RNAcentral's name for it is "partial 16S ribosomal RNA". It matches the Rfam family "Bacterial small subunit ribosomal RNA", at positions 28 to 507 of the family's 1533-position model. The record is from RNAcentral.